UAGUCCACGCCGUAAACGAUGUCAACUAGCCGUUGGUCGGGUUACCGAUUAGUGGCGCAGCUAACGCAUUAAGUUGACCGCCUGGGGAGUACGGUCGCAAGAUUAAAACUCAAAGGAAUUGACGGGGGCCCGCACAAGCGGUGGAGCAUGUGGUUUAAUUCGAUGCAACGCGAAGAACCUUACCUACCCUUGACAUUGACAGAACCUCGUAGAGAUACUUGGGUGCCUUCGGGCCUGGAAAACAGGUGCUGCAUGGCUGUCGUCAGCUCGUGUCGCGAGAUGUUGGGUUAAGUCCCGCAACGAGCGCAACCCUCAUCCUUAGUUACUAUCAUUUAGUUGAGUACUUUAAGGAAACUGCCGGUGAUAAGCCGGAGGAAGGUGGGGAUGACGUCAAGUCCUCAUGGCCCUUACAAGCUGGGCUACACACGUGCUACAAUGGCAAUGACAGUGAGCAGCUAACCCGCGAGGGCACGCUAAUCUCUAAAAGUUGUCUCAGUUCGGAUUGCACU
This 509-nucleotide ribosomal RNA is filed under the name uncultured bacterium. RNAcentral's name for it is "bacterial SSU rRNA". It matches the Rfam family "Bacterial small subunit ribosomal RNA", at positions 791 to 1304 of the family's 1533-position model. The record is from RNAcentral.